GUAGCUCAGUUGGUAGAGCAUGGUGUUUGCAACGCCAGGGUUGUGGGUUCGAUUCCCACC
This 60-nucleotide transfer RNA is filed under the name Salmo salar (Atlantic salmon). It matches the Rfam family "tRNA", at positions 7 to 64 of the family's 71-position model. From Rfam's summary of the family: Transfer RNA (tRNA) molecules are approximately 80 nucleotides in length. Their secondary structure includes four short double-helical elements and three loops (D, anti-codon, and T loops). Further hydrogen bonds mediate the characteristic L-shaped molecular structure. tRNAs have two regions of fundamental functional importance: the anti-codon, which is responsible for specific mRNA codon recognition, and the 3' end, to which the tRNAs corresponding amino acid is attached (by aminoacyl-tRNA synthetases). tRNAs cope with the degeneracy of the genetic code in two manners: having more than one tRNA (with a specific anti-codon) for a particular amino acid; and 'wobble' base-pairing, i.e. permitting non-standard base-pairing at the 3rd anti-codon position. The record is from Rfam by way of RNAcentral. Lineage: Eukaryota; Metazoa; Chordata; Actinopteri; Salmoniformes; Salmonidae.